This is a non-coding RNA of Manis javanica (Malayan pangolin), 2851 nucleotides long. NCBI's taxonomy places the organism in Eukaryota, Metazoa, Chordata, Mammalia, Pholidota, Manidae. The record is from RefSeq and is a predicted model, not a curated record.
CCUCGCCGCCAAACCGGUUCUUUCCGGAUUUCGCCCGGACCCUCGGCGUGUGGUUCCCUUCAGUCUCUGCACGCCCCACGGAUGAGGGGGCGCGGCUUAGGGGGCCGCACUGGGAGGCCGAGGCCGCACCGGGGGGCGUCCGGGGCUGGGGGUCGGCUCGGAAUCAGAGUCUACUAAUCAAAAAAAGCUGGCAGUUAGGACCUGGCGGAGAGAAGACUUGAAAUCAAAUGGAGGAGGGUUCCAGGUCUUGUUUGCAGAAGCGAUGGGGAAACGCUUAGGCGAACCCAGACUUUGCCCUGCUCAGUGGACUCACGGGCCCGUUUCUUUUGCCUGCCGUCGUCGCCGAGGGUCGUGCGGCCAGGGGACAGGGCGUGGCUAACCUGGGAGCAGCCUCCACGCUGAGUUCUGAGAAAUCCCAGAUCUCUUGGGGAGGGCUCUGCUGGCUGGGGUACCCAGGCAACCCAAUUCAAUCCAAGCUGACUGCCCACCAGGUUUCCUCUCCCAGCUUUUUCUGGAUGACUCUGCCAUCUUUUCUCCCCCUUCCAUGGAUGAAAAUGCCCCCUGAGCUCGAGGAGGACUAAAUUGGUUUGAAUUUUUUUAAUUUUUGGGGGGUGAUCAUUAUUUACUGAGCAAAACCAAACUGCUAGACCAGAAAGGCUGCCGCAAGGCCCCCUUGCUGGUGUCUGGGUCAGGAAAUGGCUCACUGCUUCUUCGCCCUUUAGACCAGAGGGCGGGCAGAGAGGGUGGGUCCGCUGGAAGCUCCCCACCCUGACGAGGGCUUGUUAGAGGCCAGAAGGGGCCAGGCCUCUGCGAGCAGCUGCAGCAGCAGGAGCAGCUGGAGCUCGAGGGCUCUGAGACCUGGACCCCACGCCAGCCCACCGCCAACCAGUCUCCACCUGAGGUCCCUUCCCCUCCCUCGCCUCCCUCCCUCGCCUCCCCUGCUGCGGCCCGCCCUUCCGGAAUGAACCUUGUCUUGGCUGUGCGCCACAGGAAGGCAGAGGCAAGCCUACAAUUACUUGCUGCCGCUGCCGGAUCCGGCUGCAGCUCUCAGACUGAGCCUGGGUGGGGGCGGGGCUCUGGGGACCCUGUCCCCAGUGGGCUCUGCGCUGGGAGUGGCUACUGAAAUCUGCAGCAUACGUUCCAGGGAUUCCCCGGCUACCCUCUGAGUCCCCGAAGAUACUUCCUUACAAACAGAUCCUGGCAUUUUUGAAGUGGUGUCUUGGUGUUUGGGACAAGGCAUUCCCUUCCAAGGGGGGUGGGCACAAAGCAGUUUGGAGGGAGAAACAGGCCAGGAGAAGGGCAUGCCCUAGGACCACCAGAGCCUUCCUUUCCGCCACGGGGUUAUCCCCUCUCCUGGCUUGGCUUUGUACCUCUGGCUGAGGCGCCCAGGAGGCAGGGUGCAGGAGUGUCCUUGGGGACUGUGCCCCAGAGGGCUCUUUGGAGUCUUCCCAGGCAGCUAGGUAUGCUCCUAUUUCCCCUUGCUCCUCUUUAUUUCUCUCCAGGCUUGCCCCUCCUGCUCAUGACUCUGCACCUCAGUGGGAGGGGUAGGGGCAUGCAUCCGUGUGACAGAACCUGCAGCGGUUCCCCUGUGAUCAAAGCCAGGCCUGUACCUAAAGGCUGGGGAGCGCCAAGGCAGGACCCACCUCCAGGGCCACAUGUCCAUUCUUGGACCUAGGUUUCUGGUCAGACCAGGUGAGCAGAAGGACUUGACCUCCCGAAUGCCCUGAGCUCCUGGGAAAUUCUCUGCCCACUAAAGAGCCAAGUUUCCCACUGAUGCCCUGAAUUACUCUAGCGUACCUUACCUUUUCCCUCCUUUGGGUGACUUCCCCUCCUUGCAGCUGGUCUGUACAUUUCAGAAAGCUACUCUUGGUUGGCUAAGCCUCACCCAUACAUGGGACUAUACACUUCCUGCCCAGAGCUCCCCAUCCCCCAGGCCAACAGGAAUCCUCCCCCAAUCCGCCUCCAACUCCUACUGCACCUGAGCCCAUCCUGUCCCACUGCCAUGGUAUCCGUUGUACCCAGAAGCCAGAUGGUCUUUUGUUCCCUAACACCCCUUCUGGGCUCAGGCGCUUCCAAGCUCAGCAAGAGUUCACUCAGCACUCCAGUGACCGCAGCACGCACUGAGGCUACGUGCCAAGUAGCUCAUCUGCUUUCCCUGGUGACCCCCACGACAGGCAGUGAGAGCACGUUUUGGAGGCACUUCGCUUUUGGAGUCUGCACGAUCAAGCUUUAUUAUGGUAUUAUCAUAUCACCUCAGGGAAGCUGAGGCACAGGGAAGUUAGCUGGCUUCCUAUGUAUAUAUAGUAUUUGCAGCUAAAAAGUGACAGGGCCUGAAUUUGAGCCCAGGGGUUGGAUCGUUCUCUGGUGGGGGCUGCCCUGUGCACUGAGGGGUAUUGAGCUAUGGUUCUGGCUUCCACCCACUAGGUACCAGGAGCACCCCUUCCUACAGUGUGGCAAAGAAAAAUAUCCCCAGGUGUGGCUGAAUGUUAGGGUGGCUACCUGCCUUUGGUAGUUCCACCUCUCCGCAAGUGCUGACUGUGUAUGUGUGUGUGUGUGUCAGGGUGGCUUCCUGCCUUUGGUUCCACUUCUCUACAAGUGCUGACCGUGUGUGUGUGUCAGGGUGGCUUCCUGCCUUUGGUUCCGUGUGUGUGUGUGUGUGUGUGUGAGUCAGGGUGGCUACCUGCCUUUGGUGGUUUCACUGGCUUCCUGCCUUUGGUUCCGUGUGUGUGUGUGUGUGUGUGUGUGUGUGUCAGGGUGGCUACCUGCCUUUCGUGGUUUCACCUCUCCAUAAGUGCUCACCGUCUGUGUGUGUGUGUGUCUUUUCCCAAAUAAAGGUAUACCGUAAACCUGG